GAUGAACGCUGGCGGCGUGCUUAACACAUGCAAGUCGAACGAUGAAGCCCAGCUUGCUGGGUGGAUUAGUGGCGAACGGGUGAGUAACACGUGAGUAACCUGCCCUUGACUCUGGGAUAAGUCUGGGCAACUGGGUCUAAUACUGGAUAUGACUUCUCAUCGCAUGGUGGGGGGUGGAAAGAUUUAUUGGUCUUGGAUGGACUCGCGGCCUAUCAGCUUGUUGGUGAGGUAAUGGCUCACUAAGGCGACGACGGGUAGCCGGCCUGAGAGGGUGACCGGCCACACGGGGACUGAGAGACGGCCCAGACUCCUACGGGAGGCAGCAGUGGGGAAUAUUGCACAAUGGGCGCAAGCCUGAGACAGCGACGCCGCGUGAGGGAUGACGGCCUUCGGGUUGUAAACCUCUUUCAGUAGAGAAGAAGCGAGAGUGACGGUACCUGCAGAAGAAGCGCCGGCUAACUACGUG
RNAcentral lists this ribosomal RNA (466 nucleotides) under uncultured bacterium. RNAcentral's name for it is "partial 16S ribosomal RNA". It matches the Rfam family "Bacterial small subunit ribosomal RNA", at positions 28 to 507 of the family's 1533-position model. The record is from RNAcentral.